Molecule: ribosomal RNA, 498 nt
Filed under: uncultured bacterium
Lineage: Bacteria
Description: bacterial SSU rRNA
Rfam family: Bacterial small subunit ribosomal RNA
Source: RNAcentral
AUGAACGCUAGCGGCAGGCUUAAUACAUGCAAGUCGAGGGGCAUCAAGGUACACGAAAGUGUAUUGUUGGCGACCGGCGGACGGGUGAGUAAUAGGUAGGUAACCUACCUCAUACUGAGGCAUAGCUGGGAGAAAUUCCAGGUAAUUCCUCAUGAGGUUAUAUGACACAUGUGAUAUAAUCAAAGGUAUCGCAAGGUACUGGUAUGAGAUGGGCUUACUGACCAUUAGCUAGUUGGUGAGAUAAGAGCUCACCAAGGCGAAGAUGGUUAGGGGUUUUGAGAGAGAGAUCCCCCACAUUGGAACUGAGAUACGGUCCAGACUCCUACGGGAGGCAGCAGUGGGGAAUUUUGGACAAUGGGGGCAACCCUGAUCCAGCCAUGCCGCGUGAGUGAAGAAGGCCUUCGGGUUGUAAAGCUCUUUCGGCCGGGAAGAAAUCGCAUAGGCUAAUACCCCGUGUGGAUGACGGUACCGGAAUAAGAAGCACCGGCUAACUACGUG